Molecule: transfer RNA, 62 nt
Filed under: Holotrichia sp. NS-2020
Lineage: Eukaryota; Metazoa; Arthropoda; Insecta; Coleoptera; Scarabaeidae
Description: tRNA-Tyr
Source: RNAcentral
AACAAAGUGGCCGAGAUAGGUGGUAAAUUGUAAAUUUAUUUACGGGGUCAACCCCCUUUGUU